Non-coding RNA from Picea glauca (white spruce), 123 nucleotides. Lineage: Eukaryota; Viridiplantae; Streptophyta; Pinopsida; Pinales; Pinaceae. The record is from Rfam.
AUGUACAUUCCUACAACAUAGCGUUAAUGCAUCAUAUCCCAUCAGAACUCCACAAUUAAGUGCACUCGAGAUAUAUUAAUAUUGGGAUGGGUGACCACCUGGCAAGUCAUAAUACUUUACAUA